GAAAUCUGGCACCUCCGGUGUCCGAGUUGUAAUUUGGAGAGGCAUCUUCCGGGGGGGUCCAGCCUAUGUUCCUUGGAACAGGACAUCACAGAGGGUGAGAAUCCCGUUCAUGGUUGGAUGUACCCUUCGUCAGGUGGUGCCUUCUACGAGUCGAGUUGUUUGGGAAUGCAGCUCAAAAUGGGUGGUAAAUUUCAUCUAAAGCUAAAUAUUGGCGAGAGACCGAUAGCGCACAAGUAGAGUGAUCGAAAGAUGAAAAGCACUUUGAAAAUAGAGUCAAAAAGUACGUGAAAUUGUUGAAAGGGAAGCGCUUGAGACCAGACUCAGCCUUGGACAAACCUCCCUUCUGGGUGGACACCUGACCUUGGCUGGGCCAGCAUCAGUUAGGACGGUGGAAUAAAGGCUCGAGGAAUGUGACUCCACUUAGGAGUGUUAUAGCCUCGGGUGCCAUCCCACCUGCCC
This 459-nucleotide ribosomal RNA is filed under the name Tuber nitidum. Its description in RNAcentral is "eukaryotic LSU rRNA". It matches the Rfam family "Eukaryotic large subunit ribosomal RNA", at positions 117 to 584 of the family's 3401-position model. Lineage: Eukaryota; Fungi; Ascomycota; Pezizomycetes; Pezizales; Tuberaceae. The record is from RNAcentral.